This 638-nucleotide ribosomal RNA is filed under the name Xanthoriicola physciae. Its description in RNAcentral is "LSU rRNA". It matches the Rfam family "Eukaryotic large subunit ribosomal RNA", at positions 199 to 846 of the family's 3401-position model. The record is from RNAcentral. Lineage: Eukaryota; Fungi; Ascomycota; Dothideomycetes; Mycosphaerellales; Teratosphaeriaceae.
GGCGUAUACAGGUUUAGAAUCCCGUUAGGCNNCCGGUUGGCACCCGGUAACGGUAGUCUCCUUCGUACAAGNGGAGUUUGUUUGGGAAUGCANCCUCUNAAUGGGUGGUNCAUUCUAUCUAAAGCUAAAUACCGGCCAGAGACCGAUAGCUCACAAGUAGAGUGAUCGAAAGAUGAAAAGCACUUUGGAAAGANAGUUAAACAGCACGUGAAAUUGUUGAAAGGGAAGCGCAUGCUACNAGACUCGACGGCGGAAGCUCCGCCGGUCUUCUGACCACGGNCGACUCGCCGCCGUCGGGCCAGCAUCGCGUGGGCGCGCCGGACAAAGGCGCGGGGAAUGUGGCCCCCCUCUGGGGGGGUGUUAUAGCCCCGCGUGCGAUGCGGGGCCGCCCGCGCGAGGUCCGCGCUUCGGCUAGGAUGCUGNUGUAAUGGUCGCAUGCGGCCCGUCUUGAAACACGGAACCAAGGAGUCUAACCUCUGUGCGAGUGUUGGGGUGUCACACCCCUACACGGAAUGAAAGUGAGGGGAGGUGGGAGCUUCGGCGCACCAUCGACCAAUCCUGAUGUCCUUGGAUGGAUUUGAGUAAGGAGCAUAGCUGUUGGGGAACCCGAAAAAAUUUUUAACUAUGCCUGAAUGGGG